Molecule: transfer RNA, 72 nt
Filed under: Toxocara canis (dog roundworm)
Lineage: Eukaryota; Metazoa; Nematoda; Chromadorea; Rhabditida; Toxocaridae
Rfam family: tRNA
About the family: Transfer RNA (tRNA) molecules are approximately 80 nucleotides in length. Their secondary structure includes four short double-helical elements and three loops (D, anti-codon, and T loops).
Source: Rfam by way of RNAcentral
CGGGCAGUAGCUCAGUGGUAGAGCUCCCGCUUCGUAUCCGGAAAGAUCUGCGCUCGAUUCUCGGCUGCUUAC